Long non-coding RNA from Cavia porcellus (domestic guinea pig), 2106 nucleotides. RefSeq lists it as uncharacterized. The record is from RefSeq and is a predicted model, not a curated record. The transcript has 2 exons. Lineage: Eukaryota; Metazoa; Chordata; Mammalia; Rodentia; Caviidae.
CUCCUCCCCCCGCGAGGCGCUGCCCAAAAUGUUUAACCGUUUGUUCCGCGCCCAGGCAGAGGCGGCGCAGCGGCAGCUUCCCUUGGAGCGCGCCUCCUGGGGUGCGGGGCAGGAGCACCGCCUCUCUCAUCCAAGGUCCCACAGGCCACCCUGACCCAAAGCCGCCCUCGCCGCCUUCCCAUCCGCUGGGGAGGCAAGGAAAGUGUUCAGGAAUCAUCAUCCCGUGGAGCAAGCCGCAGGUUCCCGAGUCUUCCAAAAGACCCCAAGAGAGUCCUGGGCCAUGAUCCAAGCAAGAGAUGGGGAUUCCAGCUCACCACCACCUCCACUCACCGCAAGGAAACCACCACUCAAGUGUUUCAAGAUCCCACAUAAGGUGCAAGUAAACCUUCGGGUCCAUCGGGACCGUGGGUGCCACUCUACAGAAACUUGAUCCCCUAUUCUGACGCCCCAGUGACAGACCCAAUGGGCAAUUUAUCUGUGAGGAGAGAUCUCAGGCUGUGUGAUGUGGCCAAGUUCGGCGCUAUUUCAGUGGCCCUGGGGCUCGCAGCCACCACCUAGGCAGCAGGAAAUGGGUCCUUUGCCCUGGCAAAAUAAGGAGUCGUCGGAGACAGAGGCAGGAAAGCCCGGAAGUCCUGGCUCCAUAUCUGUUUCCUGACCUUGAGCAAGUCAUCACGACGCAUCCUCCUGUCUGUUCACUCACCCCUCGGAUAGAAGCGGUAUGCUCAAAGUCUACACCUCCCAAAAGGAGGCCUCUUUCCAGCUCCCGGCUCCGUGCUUACCAGACUGCAUUAUGGGGUGGACGCCGGGCUUCCCCCUCUCCCAAGCUCGCCAGCAUAAAGCCGACGUCCUCACCACGGUGAGAGCUUCUUAGCCUAAAUCCAGGAUUCUGCUAGCCGCUAACUGGAGGGAAUUCGUACUGGGAAACGCGUUCUCGGACUUUGCCCAACUUCAAUUAGCAGCUCCUCUGGCCAGUACCUGAGCUCGAACACUGCAGGGUGCGCACGUGAGCUCUGGACUUUCCAUCUGGCCAGGCCACACUGCUUAGGACCAGUCAGGGACUCUGAGGUUUGGGCACUCAACGCAGCAGGGAGCCAGGAAACGAAACCGCACGGUACAUCAGUUUAGAACUGUACGCUGGCUCCCGGAGAAGCACACGUCCAUGCGCCUUGGAAAGCGUUCCCUUGAUCCUGAGAAAUGUUAAGGACGUAGCCCACCUGCGUGGCCCCCAAACUUGGAGGGUCCUAAGAACCUGCCGGUUCCAGCAAUGCUCCGAGCGGGGUAUUACCCUGGGUGUGUUUCCCUGUCUAGCGUUUCAGCUGUGAAGAGGCUCGCAUUGCUGUUUCUUUUGUUUAGGGACUGUAAGCGGUGAGCCGGCUUCAGAGCCGCAGUAGCUGGAACCCCGGCAAACCGCGCUAGAGGUAAUUCUCAGAAAUCUGGUGCCCGCCCCUUCCUAGAGGACUUCUGCUGCGGUGCAAAGCUGGCGAGCGUGGGGCGUGACCUGAGGCCCAUUUCCAAGCGCGGCCUGACCCGCCUGUGACCCCUGCAGGCCGGACCCUGACAUCUGACUGAACCCUGCAUGCCAAGUUCAGUGCGCGGCCGCAAGAUGAGUGCCCUGGAAGUUGCCACAGAAGAAAAAAAAUUUUAAAUAUAAUCUAUCUGCCCAUCGCGACUCACGGGAGCGCCUGGCAUGAAAAAAAUUAUAUGAGAGUGCAAGAUCAUUAACGAACCUCUCAAAGAGGGGAGUAAGAAUCAAUAAAUUACCAACCCAAUAAGACUUUAAUCUAGAAACCUAACCAGGAACUCCUGGUUAAGAUGGGCUAUGGUGGUGGGGUGGCUGGGAAACAAAAUUUUUCCAAAAUAUUUAUAGAACAGCCUUCCUAUUUCAAAGCCCCCCCCACACACACACACUUAAUGGGUCUGACAUUUCAUACCUGCUGUUUUAUCUGCUUGGAGGCCUCACUCCAGACCCCCAGUGACUGUUACUUCCAAAAUCACAUGUUGCCUCCUCUGAGAUCUUCCCACACACAUACGGUGGAAUUUAGUCCAGAGCACUCCCUACUAACAAGGCUGUUGUAUUUUCUUUAAAGCAUUCAUUGCCACUGGACA